AACUAUCAGCUUAGGCUUUUAGUUGAGAUGGAGCACAUGCUUCAAUUUGGUAUCAGAGCCAUGGGUUCGAAUCUCAACUAGGAAACCUAUGGUCUGCAGACCACUUGCCUUUCUGAUGCUUCAUGGUUUAAGCGUUUGUGUGUGCCCUUAUCUGUUUUAUUUGUUUGUAUUUUGUGCCUGUAUUCAUGGGUGUCUACCCUUGGGAUCGUUUGAGUUCAGAAACUAUGUUCUUUAACGUAACUCAUCUAUUGGCAUGCUAGCGUUUGAGUUUUGAACUUUCUGGACUUAUUGAUGGAUUGAAUGGUAAUGUACCAAAGACUCGAUUGCCAUUUGCCAUCACGGUUCCUUUCAUUUGCCUCGAAUCUAGACAGUUGCCUAUGGUUUACUUUGAAUGUUCUUUCCCAACUUAGGUAUCUUAUUGGUUUAAAGCAACAUGUGCUUACUAAUCCUUAGACGUUAAAAUCUAGGUACUUUCAAAUGCCGGAUAUGAAAAUUAGGGCAAGCAAUAUAGAAUUGAUGC
Molecule: long non-coding RNA, 520 nt
Organism: Ipomoea nil (Japanese morning glory)
Lineage: Eukaryota; Viridiplantae; Streptophyta; Magnoliopsida; Solanales; Convolvulaceae
Exons: 2
Source: RefSeq, a predicted model, not a curated record